GUACAAUCAAGCACCGCUUGGCGUUGGGGUGGGUCUCGCGACCCUCCCGUAACUGGUUGGCGGCACCGCCCGGCCCUGAAGCGUAGCAGAAAUCUCGCUCCGGGGGCUCUGGCGGGGCCCGCCAGGUGACCGACAUCAAA
Molecule: unclassified non-coding RNA, 140 nt
Filed under: uncultured Ascomycota
Lineage: Eukaryota; Fungi; Ascomycota
Description: sequence contains ITS2
Source: RNAcentral